AGCCGGCAGCCCAGCAGAUGAGACACGCGGGGACGAGGACAAACGAGACCUGUCAGGACCUGACAGCAGCCUAGUUCGCAGUCGGAAAGCUCUCCGAGUUAAAAACACUGACUGACUUUAAUUGGCCUUUCGGGUUUGCUGGAGAAGGCGCGAGAGCGAUUUUUGCAGCGCUGUUUGACGCCAGGCUGCUCCCCGGUACACCGCAGCGUCCCUCGGGAAGCACGCUGCUGUAGAGUUGCCUAGAGGCUGUUCGUGAAUGUCAAACUUGAUCUGGCUUCAAUAUCCCGUUUUGAAAUACUUUUGCUCUCAAGAAAUUGAGCUCUUCUUAAAUAACAAAUGAGAGAAUGAACUCCGGAAUAGAAAAGAGUUGCUCGACAGGACGGCUAUGUUAAAGGCUCUAUUCACGCAUUCGGCAUUUCCGGAAGAACAUUUAUUUUUAGAGAGGGUUUUUUUAAUCACGUAGUAUUCUAAACUGGUGCUUUAAACUUCGUUUUAAAACCACUUCUGAAAUUUUGUACUAGAAAUGGACUUCCUACCAAGAAGCAUCUUUGAAAAAAAUAGCGUAUGAUCCUGUACCUAAGGUGGUUACAAUAAUGUUGACAUACAAAUAAACGCUUUCCUGGUUUCUUAGCA
Molecule: long non-coding RNA, 633 nt
Organism: Pygoscelis adeliae (Adelie penguin)
Lineage: Eukaryota; Metazoa; Chordata; Aves; Sphenisciformes; Spheniscidae
Exons: 2
Source: RefSeq, a predicted model, not a curated record